RNAcentral lists this ribosomal RNA (730 nucleotides) under uncultured Ascomycota. Its description in RNAcentral is "SSU rRNA". It matches the Rfam family "Eukaryotic small subunit ribosomal RNA", at positions 408 to 1142 of the family's 1831-position model. Lineage: Eukaryota; Fungi; Ascomycota. The record is from RNAcentral.
UACCACAUCCAAGGAAGGCAGCAGGCGCGCAAAUUACCCAAUCCCGACACGGGGAGGUAGUGACAAUAAAUACUGAUACAGGGCUCUUUUGGGUCUUGUAAUUGGAAUGAGUACAAUUUAAAUCCCUUAACGAGGAACAAUUGGAGGGCAAGUCUGGUGCCAGCAGCCGCGGUAAUUCCAGCUCCAAUAGCGUAUAUUAAAGUUGUUGCAGUUAAAAAGCUCGUAGUUGAACCUUGGGCCUGGCUGGCCGGUCCGCCUCACCGCGUGUACUGGUCCGGCCGGGCCUUUCCUUCUGGGGAACCUCAUGCCCUUCACUGGGCGUGUUGGGGAACCAGGACUUUUACUUUGAAAAAAUUAGAGUGUUCAAAGCAGGCCUUUGCUCGAAUACAUUAGCAUGGAAUAAUAGAAUAGGACGUGUGGUUCUAUUUUGUUGGUUUCUAGGACCGCCGUAAUGAUUAAUAGGGAUAGUCGGGGGCAUCAGUAUUCAAUCGUCAGAGGUGAAAUUCUUGGAUUGAUUGAAGACUAACUACUGCGAAAGCAUUUGCCAAGGAUGUUUUCAUUAAUCAGUGAACGAAAGUUAGGGGAUCGAAGACGAUCAGAUACCGUCGUAGUCUUAACCAUAAACUAUGCCGACUAGGGAUCGGACGGUGUUAGUAUUUUGACCCGUUCGGCACCUUACGAGAAAUCAAAGUUUUUGGGUUCUGGGGGGAGUAUGGUCGCAAGGCUGAAA